RNAcentral lists this ribosomal RNA (468 nucleotides) under uncultured bacterium. RNAcentral describes it as "partial 16S ribosomal RNA". It matches the Rfam family "Bacterial small subunit ribosomal RNA", at positions 28 to 507 of the family's 1533-position model. The record is from RNAcentral.
GACGAACGCUGGCGGCGUGCUUAACACAUGCAAGUCGAACGGAAAGGCCCUGCUUUUGUGGGGUGCUCGAGUGGCGAACGGGUGAGUAACACGUGAGUAACCUGCCCUUGACUUUGGGAUAACUUCAGGAAACUGGGGCUAAUACCGGAUAGGAGCUCCUGCUGCAUGGUGGGGGUUGGAAAGUUUCGGCGGUUGGGGAUGGACUCGCGGCUUAUCAGCUUGUUGGUGGGGUAGUGGCUUACCAAGGCUUUGACGGGUAGCCGGCCUGAGAGGGUGACCGGCCUCCUGGGGCCUGCGAUACGGCCCAGACUCCUACGGGAGGCAGCAGUGGGGAAUAUUGCACAAUGGGCGGAAGCCUGAUGCAGCAACGCCGCGUGCGGGAUGACGGCCUUCGGGUUGUAAACCGCUUUCGCCUGUGACGAAGCGUGAGUGACGGUAAUGGGUAAAGAAGCACCGGCUAACUACGUG